RNAcentral lists this transfer RNA (110 nucleotides) under Alistipes sp. HGB5. RNAcentral's name for it is "tRNA-OTHER". It matches the Rfam family "tRNA". From Rfam's summary of the family: Transfer RNA (tRNA) molecules are approximately 80 nucleotides in length. The record is from RNAcentral. Lineage: Bacteria; Pseudomonadati; Bacteroidota; Bacteroidia; Bacteroidales; Rikenellaceae.
GUCGCCGUAGCUCAAUCGGAAGAGCGCAUGUCCGGUUUCUUUCAUACGAAUAGAUUAGUAAAUUGGAUCCGGGCAUGAGGUUGCGGGUUCGAGUCCCGCCGGCGACACAA